This 235-nucleotide ribosomal RNA is filed under the name uncultured Candidatus Saccharibacteria bacterium. Its description in RNAcentral is "partial 16S ribosomal RNA". It matches the Rfam family "Bacterial small subunit ribosomal RNA", at positions 584 to 818 of the family's 1533-position model. Lineage: Bacteria; Candidatus Saccharimonadota. The record is from RNAcentral.
UAAGUAAGACGUGAAAUCGUACGGCUCAACCGUAUACACAUGUUUUAAACUGGUGAACUAGAGGAUGAGAGAGGUUAUUGGAAUUUCUAGUGUAGGAGUGAAAUCCGUAGAUAUUAGAAGGAACACCGAUGGCGUAGGCAGAUAACUGGCUCAUUUCUGACACUUAGGCACGAAAGCGUGGGGAGCGAACGGGAUUAGAUACCCCGGUAGUCCACGCCGUAAACUAUGGAUGCUA